GGAGAGGUGGCUGAGCGGUUGAAGGCACCGGUUUCGAAAACCGGCAUUGGGGAAACUCAAUCGGGGGUUCGAAUCCCCCCCUCUCCGCCA
RNAcentral lists this transfer RNA (90 nucleotides) under Planctomycetota bacterium. RNAcentral describes it as "Planctomycetes bacterium (soil metagenome) tRNA-Ser". It matches the Rfam family "tRNA". Rfam says of the family: Transfer RNA (tRNA) molecules are approximately 80 nucleotides in length. Their secondary structure includes four short double-helical elements and three loops (D, anti-codon, and T loops). The record is from RNAcentral. Lineage: Bacteria; Pseudomonadati; Planctomycetota.